GAUGAACGCUGGCGGCGUGCUUAACACAUGCAAGUCGAACGGAAAGGCCACAGCUUGCUGUGGUACUCGAGUGGCGAACGGGUGAGUAACACGUGGGUGAUCUGCCCUGUACUUCGGGAUAAGCUUGGGAAACUGGGACUAAUACCGGAUAGGAAUCACAUGUGGGUGUGUGGUUGGAAAGCUUUUGCGGUAUGGGAUGAGCUCGCGGCCUAUCAGCUUGUUGGUGGGGUAAUGGCCUACCAAGGCGUCGACGGGUAGCCGGCCUGAGAGGGUGUACGGCCACAUUGGGACUGAGAUACGGCCCAGACUCCUACGGGAGGCAGCAGUGGGGAAUAUUGCACAAUGGGCGCAAGCCUGAUGCAGCGACGCCGCGUGGGGGAUGACGGCCUUCGGGUUGUAAACUCCUUUCGUCAGGGACGAAGCGAAAGUGACGGUACCUGGAUAAGAAGCACCGGCUAACUACGUG
RNAcentral lists this ribosomal RNA (466 nucleotides) under uncultured bacterium. RNAcentral describes it as "partial 16S ribosomal RNA". It matches the Rfam family "Bacterial small subunit ribosomal RNA", at positions 28 to 507 of the family's 1533-position model. The record is from RNAcentral.